AAUGCUUUAGAUAACUCCUCUGGCCCACCUGAUAAUAUUGACUGAUGCAAAGAGAGCAAUGCACAGCUAAGGCUAUCUACAACUGCACUAACCUGAAAAAAAAAUUGCUAAGGAAUGAGCUAGCGACUCAAUAAGCAUUUAAUUUACUAAACUAUAGUAUAUUAGGCUAGAAUUAUCAAGUCUUUAUCAAUACAGAAAAUUAUACUAACACUUAACUAACAAUCACAAAAUCAACCAUUUCAAUUAUUCUCAUAAACAAAUAAUUUCAUCUCACAUAAUGCAAAUAAUCUCAAACUCAACCAAGUCAAAUAAUUCAAUUCCACGUUGUUUCUAUCAAAUUAGGAUCAAAUGACUCAUCCUUACAUUUCCUCACAUUUUCAAAUUUCAGUAACCACUUGACAAGACUAUCCGCCCGGCUCAGUCUUGCCAUCUCACAUACUCGGGUAGCUAUUCGCCCGGCUCAGCUUUCCCGAUCACACAAUAUCCAUACAAGAGUCAUCAAUCCUUAAUCACAAUCAAUUCACUUCACAACACAUCACAAUCAAUUCACUUUACAACAAGCCAAAAACAUAACUAAUAUCAACUCAGUUAACCAAGAAAUUAUCAAGUAAUCAACAGCAGUUCCUACUCAAUAUACACAAAGUUUAGUCUAUUAAAUACUUACCAAAAUUUAUAGGAUAACAAAGUAAUCCUAUUCUUUUUCUCUUACCACUUCAUUUCCUUUGGA
This 727-nucleotide long non-coding RNA is filed under the name Ricinus communis (castor bean). RNAcentral's name for it is "long non-coding RNA (RCOM_LNC001028)". The record is from RNAcentral. Lineage: Eukaryota; Viridiplantae; Streptophyta; Magnoliopsida; Malpighiales; Euphorbiaceae.